Long non-coding RNA from Apus apus (common swift), 621 nucleotides. RefSeq lists it as uncharacterized. The record is from RefSeq and is a predicted model, not a curated record. The transcript has 5 exons. NCBI's taxonomy places the organism in Eukaryota, Metazoa, Chordata, Aves, Apodiformes, Apodidae.
UGCUACCUUAGAUGAACCAGUAGUGGAAUAGGCAUGAAGGAUGCAGAAAUCCAGUUAUGACCUUCAAAAUCCCCAAGUGAUGUGCUCAAAUUAACUUGCAUCUCUUCUAUCCUGUGUCAGAUGCUGCUUUAAGGACACAUGCUGUGCAGGAAGAUGGACUGGUUUGUGGUUGAGAUAUUGAAGAAUGAGAAGCAAUCAGAAAUAUUUGAAAAACCUCAUGGCUGGUCUUGAGACCCUGUAUCAAGAUGUCCAUGGGGUAUGAAAUGAGAGCUGCCCAGCAGGGCCACACAAAGAACUCUGUGUGGCAGCACCUGGGCUGCUGACUGCCAUCAUCAGCACAAAGUCUGUAGGACAAGCCCCUAGUUCCUGACCUCCAUUGAAGCAGGAACCUAGUAGAGCUGGACAAACACCUCAGCUGACAGUUACAUGUUGCUCUAAGGCCUGGGAGGCCUCAGGGGGAGAACUGAGGAAGGAGCAGUGGUGAACUCCAAAGUGUGUGAAUUCUUCAAGUGCAUCACUCAGCCAAGCAUGUUGCUAGAGAACAUUGCAGGCCUUUGCCAGGAGGAAGAAAUUUGUGUUCUUCUGAGGAUGGAGACAAGUCCACUUCCUUCUAUGAUGGAG